This 460-nucleotide ribosomal RNA is filed under the name uncultured bacterium. Its description in RNAcentral is "partial 16S ribosomal RNA". It matches the Rfam family "Bacterial small subunit ribosomal RNA", at positions 338 to 795 of the family's 1533-position model. The record is from RNAcentral.
ACUACGGGAGGCAGCAGUGAGGAAUAUUGGUCAAUGGACGAGAGUCUGAACCAGCCAAGUAGCGUGAAGGAUGACUGCCCUAUGGGUUGUAAACUUCUUUUAUAUGGGAAUAAAAUGUUCCACGUGUGGGAUUUUGUAUGUACCAUAUGAAUAAGUAUCGGCUAACUCCGUGCCAGCAGCCGCGGUAAUCCGGGGGAUCCGAGCGUUAUCCGGAUUUAUUGGGUUGAAAGGGAGCGUGGGUGGAUUGUUAAGUUAGUUGUGAAAGUUGGCGGUUCAACCGUAAAAUUGCAGUUGAGACUGGCAGUCGUGAGUACAGUAGAGGUGGGCGGAAUUCGUGGUGUAGCGGUGAAAUGCUUAGAUAUCACGAAGAACUCCGAUUGCGAAGGCAGCUCACUGGACUGCAACUGACACUGAGGCUCGAAAGUGUGGGUAUCAAACAGGAUUAGAUACCCGGGUAGUC